RNAcentral lists this transfer RNA (73 nucleotides) under Camelus bactrianus (Bactrian camel). It matches the Rfam family "tRNA". Rfam says of the family: Transfer RNA (tRNA) molecules are approximately 80 nucleotides in length. Their secondary structure includes four short double-helical elements and three loops (D, anti-codon, and T loops). Further hydrogen bonds mediate the characteristic L-shaped molecular structure. tRNAs have two regions of fundamental functional importance: the anti-codon, which is responsible for specific mRNA codon recognition, and the 3' end, to which the tRNAs corresponding amino acid is attached (by aminoacyl-tRNA synthetases). tRNAs cope with the degeneracy of the genetic code in two manners: having more than one tRNA (with a specific anti-codon) for a particular amino acid; and 'wobble' base-pairing, i.e. permitting non-standard base-pairing at the 3rd anti-codon position. The record is from Rfam by way of RNAcentral. Lineage: Eukaryota; Metazoa; Chordata; Mammalia; Artiodactyla; Camelidae. RNAcentral also lists the same sequence under 2 other names.
GAGGGAAUAGCUCAAAUGGUAGAGCACAUGCUUAGCAUACACAAGGUCCUGGGUUCAAUCCCCAGUACCUCCU